Molecule: unclassified non-coding RNA, 200 nt
Filed under: Coprinopsis sp.
Lineage: Eukaryota; Fungi; Basidiomycota; Agaricomycetes; Agaricales; Psathyrellaceae
Description: partial internal transcribed spacer 2
Source: RNAcentral
UUAAGUUCAGCGGGUAGUCUUACCUGAUUUGAGGUCAAAAUUGUCAAGUGUUGUCCGGUGAAGGACGGUUAGAAGCGGGUCUAUGAUGGCGUUCCAAAUCCACGGCGUAGAUAAUUAUCACACCAAUAGAUAAGGGGCCUAACCCACUAAUACAUUUCAGAGGAGCAGACCACAAAAGCGGACCUGCAAACCCCCACAUC